GCCGGUUUAGCUCAUUUGGUAGAGCACUUCACUUGUAAUGAUGGGGUGGUCCGUUCGAAUCGGACAACCGGCA
RNAcentral lists this transfer RNA (73 nucleotides) under Stenotrophomonas phage IME13. It matches the Rfam family "tRNA". Rfam says of the family: Transfer RNA (tRNA) molecules are approximately 80 nucleotides in length. Their secondary structure includes four short double-helical elements and three loops (D, anti-codon, and T loops). Further hydrogen bonds mediate the characteristic L-shaped molecular structure. tRNAs have two regions of fundamental functional importance: the anti-codon, which is responsible for specific mRNA codon recognition, and the 3' end, to which the tRNAs corresponding amino acid is attached (by aminoacyl-tRNA synthetases). tRNAs cope with the degeneracy of the genetic code in two manners: having more than one tRNA (with a specific anti-codon) for a particular amino acid; and 'wobble' base-pairing, i.e. permitting non-standard base-pairing at the 3rd anti-codon position. The record is from Rfam by way of RNAcentral. Lineage: Duplodnaviria; Heunggongvirae; Uroviricota; Caudoviricetes; Pantevenvirales; Straboviridae.